AACAGGAUUAGAUACCCUGGUAGUCCACGCCGUAAACGAUGAGUGCUAAGUGUUAGAGGGUUUCCGCCCUUUAGUGCUGCAGUAAACGCAUUAAGCACUCCGCCUGGGGAGUACGGCCGCAAGGCUGAAACUCAAAGGAAUUGACGGGGGCCCGCACAAGCGGUGGGGCAUGUGGUUUAAUUCGAAGCAACGCGAAGAACCUUACCAGGUCUUGACAUCCUCUGCCAACCCUAGAGAUAGGGCGUUCCCCUUCGGGGGACAGAGUGACAGGUGGUGCAUGGUUGUCGUCAGCUCGUGUCGUGAGAUGUUGGGUUAAGUCCCGCAACGAGCGCAACCCUUAAUCUUAGUUGCCAGCAUUUAGUUGGGCACUCUAAGGUGACUGCCGGUGACAAACCGGAGGAAGGUGGGGAUGACGUCAAAUCAUCAUGCCCCUUAUGACCUGGGCUACACACGUGCUACAAUGGAUGGUACAAAGGGCUGCAAAACCGCGAGGUUAAGCGAAUCCCAUAAAACCAUUCUCAGUUCGGAUUGCAGGCUGCAACUCGCCUGCAUGAAGUCGGAAUCGCUAGUAAUCGCAGAUCAGCAUGCUGCGGUGAAUACGUUCCCGGGCCUUGUACACACCGCCCGUCACACCACGAGAGUUUGUAACACCCGAAGUCGGUGGGGUAACUGGUUUUCCAGAACUAGCCGCCUAAGGUGGGACAAAUGAUUGGGGUGAAGUCGUAACAAGGUAGCCGUAUCGGAAGGUGCGGCUGGAUCACCUCCUU
Molecule: ribosomal RNA, 767 nt
Filed under: uncultured bacterium
Lineage: Bacteria
Description: bacterial SSU rRNA
Rfam family: Bacterial small subunit ribosomal RNA
Source: RNAcentral